GGGGGCUGGUGCAGGCAACAGCAGAGGCUCUCUGGGCAGCCUGGUGAAGGCCCAUCUGGGAGGCCUCCCCAGCGGCUGCCUUUUCCUGGGCCCCCAGCAGACCUCUCUGCUUCACUUUCAGGUUUAUCCAAGUGGCUCUUGCUCCUGUCUGCUUUCUCAUCCUGCAGGGUUUCUGGGUCCCUUCCUGGGCUGGUGGCAGUGUGUGUGUGGGUGGGUGGGGCCGUGCCCAGUGGUCCCCACGGAGAUGUUCAGUGCUUGGAAUCGCCGGGACCGGCCCCCUGAGGAGGGGGCAGCUGCAGAGCUCCAGGGCUUCGCUGUGGACAAGACCUUCUUCUCUUCUCUCAAAGGCAUCCUGCUGGAAACUGAGCUGGCCCUGACCUUCAUCAUCUUCAUCUGCUUCACGGCCUCCAUCUCCGCCUAUAUGGCCGCGGCAUUGCUGGAGUUCCUCAUCACGCUCACUUUCCUCUUCUUCUACGCCACCCAGUACUACCAGCGCUUCGACCAGCUUAACUGGCCCUGUCUGGACUUCCUCCGCUGCCUCAGUGCCAUCAUCAUCUUCCUCGUGGUCUCCUUUGCUGCUGUGACCUCCAGGGAAGGGGCUGCCAUUGCUGCUUUCGUGUUUGGUAUCAUCCUGGUAUCGGUCUUUGCCUACGAUGCCUUGAAGAUCUACCAGACUGAGAUGGCACCCAGAGCCACCCAGGGGACUCAGCAGUGACUCCUGGGCUGUCUCCCAAGCCCGCCCAGACACAGGGAACCAUGAAGCCCAGAUAUGUCUCCUUUGGAUUCAUUGACCCCCUGGCCACCAUCCCCCACACCAGGUCUACAGAGGCGUCUGCCCAAGAAGUCAGUGGGGAUGUAUCUGUGGAGCCUGGUGCCCUGAGCCUGGUUCCUGAUGAGAGAUUCCUGUCUGACUAGUACAGACCAAGGGAGAGACCCACCUUGGCGCCAAUGUCACGGCUCUUGGCCCGAAGCUUGUUGACCUGGGACUCAGCGAUGUCGGCCCGUUCCUCUGCCUCAUCCAGCUCGUGCUGCACCUUGCGGAACUUGGACAGCUCAUUCUCCAGCUCCCGCACCCGGGCCUCCAGCUUCUGCAGCUGCUUCUUGCCACCCUUGAGGGCGAUCUGCUCAGCCUCGUCCGUCCAGCCGGUGCUGCAGGUCCUUGAUGGUCUGCUCCAUGUUCUUCUUCAUGCGCUCCAGGGCCUCAUUGCGGCUGCGUGUCUCUGCAUCCAGGGAGGUCUGCAGCGAGUCCACCACCCGCAGGUGGUUGCGCUUGGCCUGCUCCAUCUCCUCGUCCUUCUCUGCCAGCUUCCGCUCAAUCUCUGCCUUGAUCUGGUUGAACUCCAGCUGGGCUCGAAGGAUCUUGCCCUCCUCAUGCUCCAGGGAGGCCUAGAAGGAGGGUGGGGAGAGAGGUCUGAGGCCGACAGUUAGGGCCCAGGGUGGACCGGGAGGGAGGACCAGAAGAUGACAGGAAUCACCAGGACUGUGGCCUGAAGAAGAGAUGGGGAGGUGGGCCCUGCACCCAAGAUCCUGUUGGGGAGGAAGUGCUGGACUUCCUGGGCUUCCUGACUCAUGGGUCUUCCUCUGUGAAGGGAGGAGUUUGAACCUGUCGGAUGCCAGACCCCUGGCACUAACAUGGCAGGGAUUCUCGACCCACUUUAAGAUCACAGAAAAAAAGAGGGAUUUCUAUAAUGUAAAACUCUCUUUGUUUACUAGGUCCCUCUCCUUGAGUGAGAAAAAAAUUAGAAGUCCCAAACUCAGGGCUGUUCCCAGUGCCUUAAAAAUGCAUAGAAACAAUAGCUAAUGUAAAUUAAGUGCUUGAGCAGAUCACAUCAGUUAAUCUUCAUAAUAAUCAUACACACAAUCUUGGAGGUAUGUUAUAUUAAUGUCAUCUAACAGAAAAGGACACCGACGCACAGAGAGGUUAAUGUCCAAUGACACAGAGGAAACUUGGUCCUCAAGCCAUUUCAAAUUCAGGUCCCCACUGUCUGAGUGAUUAUCAUGAGGCCAGAUUCCAACUUUAAAAAACCUUCUGCCUAAAA
Non-coding RNA from Ictidomys tridecemlineatus (thirteen-lined ground squirrel), 2039 nucleotides. NCBI's taxonomy places the organism in Eukaryota, Metazoa, Chordata, Mammalia, Rodentia, Sciuridae. The record is from RefSeq and is a predicted model, not a curated record.